This 162-nucleotide ribosomal RNA is filed under the name Correa lawrenceana var. grampiana. RNAcentral's name for it is "5.8S ribosomal RNA". It matches the Rfam family "5.8S ribosomal RNA". From Rfam's summary of the family: 5.8S ribosomal RNA (5.8S rRNA) is a component of the large subunit of the eukaryotic ribosome. It is transcribed by RNA polymerase I as part of the 45S precursor that also contains 18S and 28S rRNA. The record is from RNAcentral. Lineage: Eukaryota; Viridiplantae; Streptophyta; Magnoliopsida; Sapindales; Rutaceae. RNAcentral also lists the same sequence under 2 other names.
UAACGACUCUCGGCAACGGAUAUCUCGGCUCUCGCAUCGAUGAAGAACGUAGCGAAAUGCGAUACUUGGUGUGAAUUGCAGAAUCCCGUGAACCAUCGAGUCUUUGAACGCAAGUUGCGCCCUAAGCCGUUAGGCUGAGGGCACGUCUGCCUGGGUGUCACG